GAUGAAGAACGCAGCGAAAUGCGAUAAGUAAUGUGAAUUGCAGAAUUCAGUGAAUCAUCGAAUCUUUGAACGCACCUUGCACCCUUUGGUAUUCCGAAGGGUAUGCUCGUUUGAGUGUCAUUGUACUCUCACACUUCUAAUUCCUUUCGGGAUUGGGAGCGGUGGACUUGGGUGUUGCUGCUUUAGUUGUGGCUCACCUCAAAUAAGUUAGUGCAACUCUUGGUUGGACAUAGUACGGCGUGAUAAGUGUCUUCGCCGGCGCCUCUGUAAGGAGAGUGGCCGAUCGGGAGCUCUGUGCUUCAAACCGUCUUCGGACAAUCUUUGACAACUUGACCUCAAAUCGAGUAGGACUACCCGCUGAACUUAAGCAUAUCAAUAAGCGGAGGA
This 387-nucleotide unclassified non-coding RNA is filed under the name soil metagenome. RNAcentral's name for it is "partial contains 5.8S ribosomal RNA, internal transcribed spacer 2, and large subunit ribosomal RNA". The stretch from base 1 to 120 matches the Rfam family "5.8S ribosomal RNA", at positions 35 to 154 of the family's 154-position model. The record is from RNAcentral.